UAAUCUAUCAUACAUGUACUAUUUUAUCUCCAAUCUGCGCAACCAUCCUGAUCAUAAUUGGUUCCUUAGUCACAAUGAUAAAAAAUCUGGUUUGCACACUUCUCUUUAUUACCAUGUUAUCUGCUCGGGACGGUAACGCUGGCACGGCAGUUUAUCCAUGUUCGGGGGAAGGAUAUUUCAAAAUUAACGGGGCUACCGACCGGGCUAAAUAUUGUCCUGGAACGAUGCCAUGUGACUACGUGUUUUGCUCGUACGACACAGCAUAUCGGAGAUACAGGCGGGUUUUUCACGUCUGUCCGUUGGACCGCCCAGUUCCCCCGGCAACGACGCCCACGGAUAACUACGAGUUUCACGAGACUAAUCACACCUGUGGUCGGCGACAUGUCAGUCACGUCAAUAGGCAGAAACUAGGGGCCCCGCGACAUUGAGGGCGCCCGUAGUGUUUUUGACUUAUUAAUUUUUUUAAAGUUAUUUUAUUAGGUAAAGGAACUCCUAAUAAACGAAAUUUAAUUGAUUUCAAACUGUUUUCAUUGUAAUUUUUCUUGUUUUUUAAAUUAACAUGUUUUUGUGUUAAGUUUCAAAUUUUACAUUUAAAUACUUAAAUUCGCUAGCAAAAUUUUAACACAAUUUGUGUAAAAAAUAAUUUUGAACAACAAUUUUUAGUAGUUUAAUAUUUGCUUCUGUAGUUCGUUUAGAAUUUUGGAACGCAAAAAAUUAUCUCAGCUACUAAAAUCUAACCAAAAUAUAUGCCCCGAUAAACAUGAAAUA
Molecule: long non-coding RNA, 768 nt
Organism: Folsomia candida
Lineage: Eukaryota; Metazoa; Arthropoda; Collembola; Entomobryomorpha; Isotomidae
Exons: 2
Source: RefSeq, a predicted model, not a curated record